Molecule: ribosomal RNA, 922 nt
Filed under: Bacillus subtilis
Lineage: Bacteria; Bacillati; Bacillota; Bacilli; Caryophanales; Bacillaceae
Description: bacterial SSU rRNA
Rfam family: Bacterial small subunit ribosomal RNA
Source: RNAcentral
UCUCCUCCCGGGGGGGUUUUUUUAAAGUUUUUUUUUUUCCUCUCAGGACGAACGCUGGCGGCGUGCCUAAUACAUGCAAGUCGAGCGGACAGAUGGGAGCUUGCUCCCUGAUGUUAGCGGCGGACGGGUGAGUAACACGUGGGUAACCUGCCUGUAAGACUGGGAUAACUCCGGGAAACCGGGGCUAAUACCGGAUGGUUGUUUGAACCGCAUGGUUCAAACAUAAAAGGUGGCUUCGGCUACCACUUACAGAUGGACCCGCGGCGCAUUAGCUAGUUGGUGAGGUAACGGCUCACCAAGGCAACGAUGCGUAGCCGACCUGAGAGGGUGAUCGGCCACACUGGGACUGAGACACGGCCCAGACUCCUACGGGAGGCAGCAGUAGGGAAUCUUCCGCAAUGGACGAAAGUCUGACGGAGCAACGCCGCGUGAGUGAUGAAGGUUUUCGGAUCGUAAAGCUCUGUUGUUAGGGAAGAACAAGUACCGUUCGAAUAGGGCGGUACCUUGACGGUACCUAACCAGAAAGCCACGGCUAACUACGUGCCAGCAGCCGCGGUAAUACGUAGGUGGCAAGCGUUGUCCGGAAUUAUUGGGCGUAAAGGGCUCGCAGGCGGUUUCUUAAGUCUGAUGUGAAAGCCCCCGGCUCAACCGGGGAGGGUCAUUGGAAACUGGGGAACUUGAGUGCAGAAGAGGAGAGUGGAAUUCCACGUGUAGCGGUGAAAUGCGUAGAGAUGUGGAGGAACACCAGUGGCGAAGGCGACUCUCUGGUCUGUAACUGACGCUGAGGAGCGAAAGCGUGGGGAGCGAACAGGAUUAGAUACCCUGGUAGUCCACGCCGUAAACGAUGAGUGCUAAGUGUUAGGGGGUUUCCGCCCCUUAGUGCUGCAGCUAACGCAUAAGCACUCCGCCUGGAGACUACGGC